GAUCUGUUUCAUGGGUGAUAAAGUUGUAAUGGCUCUAAUGGAGGCCUAAUUAAUUCCUGUUUGCCAGCUGGAAAAUUGGAAGGUGGGCUCCAUGACCCCUGGCCCUCUUUAGAUAUAUUUUCUGGACAGGAGGUAUUUCCAAGCUAGAGCCGGCUGGGCAAUCCCACCUGGGUCAAGAAUAAGAGCCAGCCACCGUGUGCUAGGAGCUGUGCCCCGUUGUCUCCAACCCUGGAACCUGCUGGCAAGGAUUAACACCACAACAAGGAAACUGGGGGUCUGCCCAAGGCCUCAUUGGGCGGAGCUGAAAUUCAGGCACACAUGAGACUUACUCUAAAGCUGUGUGCAUGGCUUGGGAGAGGAACUGGCUCCUGCCUCAGAGCCCCUGCUUGGGGGGCAGCCAAACCCUAGUAGGCUGGGGGUUAUGUGCUCAUGGUCAUCAAGAAGUUAAUGUCUUUCAUUUGGCUCUGCCUUUUGACUCUUCAUUUCUGUGCCCACCUUUGAGGGAAUGGAACACAUGUUUGCAAACUGCUCAGUUAACUCUGAAGACUGCUGGGCUGUGACCUUGCCCUCAGUGUCUGAUUCAAGAUGAAAGUGGAUGCUCCCUGACCAAAGUGCUUAAUUCUGAGUCCCCCUCCAUGUUCACACCUGUCCUCCCUGCCAAACCCCCUCCCCUGCGAGAGGAUCCAGAGC
Long non-coding RNA from Bos taurus (domestic cattle), 690 nucleotides. Lineage: Eukaryota; Metazoa; Chordata; Mammalia; Artiodactyla; Bovidae. The record is from Ensembl.